UUUCAGAAGGAAGGAAGCAUGCUCUUGGUAUGCAAGUGAGCAGAAUUUCACACUGAUCAAAUAAUGCUGCAGUCCUACCUAUUACUAGAUGAUACAUCUCUGUGACUCAGAACCCUACAAUCAAUUAGAUUCAUAUAUCCUGACAAGUGAGAAGAGGAAGACAGCCCUGGAACAGAGAAUGAUGUUGCAACUGAACUGACCAAGCUCCAUGCUGAGCACCUCACUGAGGACUUGUACACCUAGAAGACAAACUCUGCUGCAGUGGCUCCUCGGAGUGAGGGGAACUGCUUGGAUCACAUCCUGGGAUUUUCUACUAGUUGACAAAAUGCAGUUUCGUGAACAUGCUGAUAAGCAAUUGUUCAUCAUAAAGUCUUUAUAGCCCUGGAACAAACCUUGGGGCUAAUCAGUGUUAUUAAUUAACAUAGAUUUCAGAGCUAAUGAGCUGAAA
Apus apus (common swift) is the source of this 448-nucleotide long non-coding RNA. RefSeq lists it as uncharacterized. NCBI's taxonomy places the organism in Eukaryota, Metazoa, Chordata, Aves, Apodiformes, Apodidae. The transcript has 3 exons. The record is from RefSeq and is a predicted model, not a curated record.